GUUUCUGAGGUGUAAAUGGUUAAGCGUUUGGCUACUAACCAAAAUGUUGGUGGUUUGAAUCCACCUAGAGGCA
This 73-nucleotide transfer RNA is filed under the name Loxodonta africana (African savanna elephant). It matches the Rfam family "tRNA". From Rfam's summary of the family: Transfer RNA (tRNA) molecules are approximately 80 nucleotides in length. Lineage: Eukaryota; Metazoa; Chordata; Mammalia; Proboscidea; Elephantidae. The record is from Rfam by way of RNAcentral.